CUGACUGGAUAGAGAGAGCAUAUUCCGUUAUCUGUGGUGAAAAAAUACGAUAGUAGCAGAACAUCAUCUACAGUUUGCUAUAGUUUAACAAAAUUCCGGUGAAUUGAAUGAAUGUGAAUGAAUGAGUUUACAGAAAAAAGAAAAACACUUGCCAAGUUUUCUCAAAAAGUGUGGGAAAAGUGUUGAUACUCCUAAAGUUACAAGAAAAAGAAAAAAAAAGUCCAAGGCUGACUCUGGAUAAGUGAGCGAACGGUGCAUUAGUGUGUGAAAACGAGCAUAAGAAGGAAAAAGAAACUGUUCGGGGGGAAUUUCCCAACAAUAUUUUAUAAGUUAUCGAAAAACGUAUUUUUUUUCCUCUAUCUGGCAACGAAUCGCUUAGUGUCGGUAUCAGUGAAAAAAAAGGAACUUUGUGGACUCUUUGUGUUUCGAAAACCGUGAAAUUUUUAUUCCAGUGAGUGAAAAUAAAAAAAAGCAACAGGACCCGUGGAAUGUUCUCGUGGAGAAGAGGAUGUUCCAAAUGUUAUUGAUAAGGUUCGGGAACGCCUAAGAGUUGCAUUGGAAAAAAAUACUGAACUUGAAGGAGAGUUGACUAAUCUCAAAGAAGAGGAGUAAACAUUUACGUGACUGUGACUUCGUUUGUUUUUAUUUCAUUCGGAGAAAUAUUAUAUCAGGGAAAGUGGACAUCAAAAAAGCGUUGCUCAGUGAAAGAGUGCCCGAAUACGAGUGAAAAGCUUUUAUCGUAUUCCUUCGAAAACGUAUUUAUAGACGCACUGGGCCGAUUUUUGCGGAGACGACAAACUAGUUCCGAAGAAGGAUUCGCGUAUCUGUGGAGAUUAUUUUUAUAGCGUCUUAAUGCAGUGGACUGUAAAAACUGCUACUUAAUCCCGCUGCGCGAUACCAAAGCAGCCUUUAUGCGGAUUGCCCAGCGUGAGAAAAAAAAUUCCCCCCGUGGGCGCGAUGCAGACUGCCUUCAUUGCAGUGAUGCAGCGGGGAUUUUCCAUUCGCAUGGAACUUCACAUCACUGUGGCAGAUUGAGGGACUCGUUUCAUCGGAGACAAAACACAACACACGCUUAAACUAUAACUAUGUACAUUGUGUUUUACAUAAUACUAUAGAAAUAUAC
This is a long non-coding RNA of Toxorhynchites rutilus septentrionalis, 1123 nucleotides long. RefSeq lists it as uncharacterized. The transcript has 4 exons. NCBI's taxonomy places the organism in Eukaryota, Metazoa, Arthropoda, Insecta, Diptera, Culicidae. The record is from RefSeq and is a predicted model, not a curated record.